AGUGAACGCUGGCGGUAGGCCUAACAUAUGCAAGUCGAACGGCAGCACAGAGGAGCUUGCUCCUUGGGUGGCGAGUGGCGGACGGGUGAGGAAUACAUCGGAAUCUACUCUGUCGUGGGGGAUAACGUAGGGAAACUUAUGCUAAUACCGCAUACGACUUACGGGUGAAAGCAGGGGACCUUAGGCCCUUGCGCGAUUGAAUGAGCCGAUGUCGGAUUAGCUAUUUGGCGGGGUAAAGGCCCACCAAGUCGACGAUCCGUAGCUGGUCUGAGAGGAUUAUCGGCCACACUGUGACAGGGACACGGACCAGACUCCUACGGGCGGCAGCAGUCGGGAAUAUUGCACAACGAGCGCAAGCCUGAUCCAGCCAUACCGCGUGGGUGAAGAGGCCCUUCGGGUUGUAAAGCCCUUUUGUUGGGGAAGAAAUCCAGAUAGCUAAUACCCGGUUGGGAUGACGGUACCCAAAGAAUAAGCACCGGCUAACUUCGUGCCAGCCGCCGCCGUAA
This 506-nucleotide ribosomal RNA is filed under the name uncultured bacterium. Its description in RNAcentral is "partial 16S ribosomal RNA". It matches the Rfam family "Bacterial small subunit ribosomal RNA", at positions 29 to 523 of the family's 1533-position model. The record is from RNAcentral.